GACGUAUUAAAAAAAACUACUUACUAGAUCUCGUUCAAACCAAUUUUCGGUGGAAGUUUACACGGUAAUGUACAUCAUAUAUUUUUUUUAGUUUUAUCAUUCUGUUAUUUUAGAAGUUACAGGGGGGGGGGGGGACACACAUUUUACCACUUUGGAAGUGUCUCUCGCGCAAACUAUUCAGUUUAAAAAAAAUGAUAUUAGAAACCUCAAUAUCAUUUUUGAAGACCUAUCCAUAGAUACCCCACACGUAUAGGUUUGAUGAAAAAAAAAAUUUUGAGCGAUUUAUGACGUAUUAAAAAAAAAAACUACUUACUAGAUCUCGUUCAAACCAAUUUUCGGUGGAAGUUUACAUGGUAAUGUACAUCAUAUAUUUUUUUUAGUUUUAUCAU
Molecule: long non-coding RNA, 389 nt
Organism: Cydia amplana
Lineage: Eukaryota; Metazoa; Arthropoda; Insecta; Lepidoptera; Tortricidae
Exons: 2
Source: RefSeq, a predicted model, not a curated record